This 363-nucleotide long non-coding RNA is filed under the name Mytilus galloprovincialis (Mediterranean mussel). Lineage: Eukaryota; Metazoa; Mollusca; Bivalvia; Mytilida; Mytilidae. The record is from RNAcentral.
AUGGGCUUUAAGUCACAUUUCAUCUUUUUAGACGUUGAGCUUCUAGCUGUCAUGGUGGAAUUUGGAAAAUGAAAAGAACAAAGCAUGUUUAAUUGUAUUUGAUAUUUAAUUAAACAAUGUUUUAUGUCUGUUGACAAAGGCGGCACAUGUUUCCACAAUGUCUGUUAGAUUUGGCCUUGUAUGCCUCCGUAAUGUACUGAAUACUUUGUAUAUUUUUAAUUCACCAAUUUGGUGUUCCACUUGAAUUCUGUAUUCACCAAUCACGCGUUUAAAUUUUCUGCUCUUUCUCUUAAAUGUUAUGGCUUACGAUUAAUUUGAGGUGUUAUAAAUGGUGUAACUAAAGGAUGACGAUAUGGAUAAACU